AUUGCCUCAGAAUAACCGGAAGGAGAUGGAAUAGAUAGACGCCGUCCGGUUCAGACAGAGGCGCACAAUGACUCCGAAUCGGUUUGAGGGAAAGGAACUAUAACUAGUUGUGUAUUCUCACUUCUUGAACGUUCCUUUCCUAGAUUGAUUCGGAUAUUU
Molecule: small nucleolar RNA, 159 nt
Organism: Cornus florida
Lineage: Eukaryota; Viridiplantae; Streptophyta; Magnoliopsida; Cornales; Cornaceae
Product: small nucleolar RNA snoR138
Exons: 1
Source: RefSeq, a predicted model, not a curated record